Molecule: ribosomal RNA, 1088 nt
Filed under: Helicoma khunkornense
Lineage: Eukaryota; Fungi; Ascomycota; Dothideomycetes; Tubeufiales; Tubeufiaceae
Description: eukaryotic LSU rRNA
Rfam family: Eukaryotic large subunit ribosomal RNA
Source: RNAcentral
UGGGGGAAAAAAACAAACAGGGUAUUGCCUUAGUAACGGCGAGUGAAGCGGCAAUAGCUCAAAUUUGAAAUCUGGCUCUUUUAGAGUCCGAGUUGUAAUUUGUAGAAGAUGCUUCGGCUUACGUAUCGGUCUAAGUUCCUUGGAACAGGACGUCACAGAGGGUGAGAAUCCCGUUUGUGGCCGAUACUUCCGCUAUGUGAAGCUCCUUCGACGAGUCGAGUUGUUUGGGAAUGCAGCUCUAAAUGGGAGGUAAAUUUCUUCUAAAGCUAAAUAUUGGCCAGAGACCGAUAGCGCACAAGUAGAGUGAUCGAAAGAUGAAAAGCACUUUGGAAAGAGAGUUAAAAAGUACGUGAAAUUGUUGAAAGGGAAGCGCUUGCGACCAGACUUGCCUUUAGUUGCUCCGCCGGUCCUUCGACCGGUGUAUUCUUCUAUUGUCAGGCCAGCAUCAGUUUGGGUGGUUGGAUAAAGGCAUUGGGAAUGUGACUCUCUUCGGGGAGUGUUAUAGCCCUUUGUGUAAUACAGCCUACCUAGACUGAGGACCGCGCUUCGGCUAGGAUGCUGGCGUAAUGGUCGUAAGCGGCCCGUCUUGAAACACGGACCAAGGAGUCUAACAUCUAUGCGAGUGUUUGGGUGUCAAACCCGUGCGCGAAAUGAAAGUGAACGGAGGUGGGAACCUUUGGGUGCACCAUCGACCGAUCCUGAUGUCUUCGGAUGGAUUUGAGUAAGAGCAUAGCUGUUGGGACCCGAAAGAUGGUGAACUAUGCCUGAAUAGGGUGAAGCCAGAGGAAACUCUGGUGGAGGCUCGCAGCGGUUCUGACGUGCAAAUCGAUCGUCAAAUUUGGGUAUAGGGGCGAAAGACUAAUCGAACCAUUAAAAACUUAGUUACUAGGUGGUUAAGAGGCGGCUAAAAGUGACCGUCUAGUCCCUUCAUUCGGGGCAACACCGUCAAAUUGCGGGGACUUCCUUAGAGCUUGAACUACCGCGACUACAUUGAAAAUGUUGGUGCAGCACCGGGUUAAUUACCUAGGGGAUGGUAAAAUGUUCAAGAUUGGUUAAUCCGCAGCCAGUCCUAAGUCAUAAUAACAAAA